RNAcentral lists this ribosomal RNA (301 nucleotides) under uncultured bacterium. Its description in RNAcentral is "partial 16S ribosomal RNA". It matches the Rfam family "Bacterial small subunit ribosomal RNA", at positions 509 to 807 of the family's 1533-position model. The record is from RNAcentral.
CAGUAGCCACGGUAAUACGAAGGGUGCAAGCGUUAAUCGGAAUUACUGGGCGUAAAGCGUGCGUAGGCGGUGAGUUAAGUCUGCUGUGAAAUCCCCGGGCUUAACCUGGGAACUGCGCUUGUGACUGCACAGCUAGAGUAUGGCAGAGGGGGGUGGAAUCCCACGUGUAGCAGUGAAAUGCGUAGAGAUGUGGAGGAACACCGAUGGCGAAGGCAGCCCCCUGGGCCAAUACUGACGCUCAUGCACGAAAGCGUGGGGAGCAAACAGGAUUAGAUACCCCGGUAGUCCCUGUCUCUUAUAC